This 1673-nucleotide unclassified non-coding RNA is filed under the name Actinia tenebrosa (Australian red waratah sea anemone). RNAcentral's name for it is "uncharacterized LOC116288244, transcript variant X1". Lineage: Eukaryota; Metazoa; Cnidaria; Anthozoa; Actiniaria; Actiniidae. The record is from RNAcentral.
AAUGGCGGAGUGUCUUGUAAAAUUUUUACCGGAGGAUGUUCCAGGGGCAAUUUUACCUUGCCCUGUGUUAGAAGAUAACACCUUUGAAGACCUCAAACGAUACGUGGAGAACAGAGGCUUUACAGUGGGAAAGCAAGAGUCAAAAGUGAAGCUUCUUAAAAGAAUUUCAGAUCUCAAGUCGAGUGGGCUGGACAAAUUUAUCGUCGAUCCAGAUGGGGAUGUACAGUAUGCAAUCAUCGAAGAGAGCACGUGAGACAAAAAAUUCCAGAUCCCCCUUGUUGAAAAAUUGGACGAAGGACAUGGCAGUACCCACAGAUUUUUCCUUAGUCAUUUAUAUGAAUAUCUUGUCAGGAGAACUAUUACAAUUUUGAAGGUAAACACCAAAUCAAAAAACACACAUUUGGAAGGGAAGUCAAAAGACAGAGACCUCUACAAGAAUAUGCAAGUCACAAUAUAUACUGUACAAGAUCCUACAGUGGAUUUCAAAUACUUAAAGGAAAAUAUCAAUGAUGUACCACAUAAAAUGGCUAUUGAACAGCUAUUCAUGACAUCCCCAAGCAGCCCAAGCCAAUCACAAGAAAGUGCCAUGGAUGGUGAAAAUCUAAAACCAGAGGAAAUCAUUAUGAAGGAAUUAAAAGUAAAGCAGAACAUUCAUAGUAUCACUCUUCUUUUUAUUUUUGGUAUAGAUAUUCUUUUAAUAACUAAAUGAUCAUAAAAGAACUUAAUCUAUGUUUCAUUGAUUUGAAGUUUAUGUAGAGUUUAUAAAAUUACAUAAUUGUCGUGGAUGAUAAUAUAGAUUAUUUUAUUAUGAUCAUAAUUUAUUUACAGCACCAUAGUAUUAAUUUUCAUAAUAUUGUAUACGUAUGCUUGUUCUUCAGAACAUAUUUGGAGGCUAUAUUUUGUUUUCUUUCCUAGGUAACAGUAGAAGACAGAAUAAGAAUAGAGAAAGAUACUAGAGGUCAAAGUGAGAGUCUUAGAUGGUAUAGAGAAAGGAAAGGCAGAAUUACAGCAAGCAUUGCAAAAAGUUGUUGUUCUAAAGGGAACCCUGCUGCCACUGUAAAAAAUAUCUUAACAGUUGGUAAACCAGGUAGAGGGCCUAAUUCACCACAUAUUAAGUAAUGGUAUUGAAAAUGAAGAAAAUGCAAUUCAGAAAUUCAAUUUACAAAUAAAUGCUGAUGGUUGCCACUGCAGUAUUCGUAAAUGUGGACUGUUUAUUGAAGAAGAAACAGGUGUACUAGCUGCUACACCAGAUAGGCUAGCAACCAUAGAUGGAGAAGAAGUGGUUGUAGAGGUGAAAUGUCUAUCUGCAAGCAGAGAUCUACCACCACUUGCUGCGGUUACUGCAAGAGAGAAAGAUAGCAUCUUUGGAUUUAAAUUAGAUAAAGGUCAAAUUGUUCUGAAGAAAAAGCAUAAAUUUUUCUAUCAAGUGCAAAUGCAGAUGGCAUUAACUAAUAGACUUAACACUUAUGUAGUAAUAUUUACAAAUGAUAAAUUCAAUGUUGACAUUAUAAAGGUAAAAUUUGAUAAGCAGUUUUGGAAGGAAAUGAAAGAGCAGCUGCUAAGUUUCCAUGCUAGACAUGUUGUACCUGCUCUUGUACGCCAGAGAUUCAGAUAGAUAUUUGUAAAUAUAAUUUUGUGAUCAUUAUAUUUAAAUAAAUAUAAUUAUCUUUCAG